This is a long non-coding RNA of Cydia pomonella (codling moth), 2255 nucleotides long. RefSeq lists it as uncharacterized. The transcript has 2 exons. NCBI's taxonomy places the organism in Eukaryota, Metazoa, Arthropoda, Insecta, Lepidoptera, Tortricidae. The record is from RefSeq and is a predicted model, not a curated record.
UUGAAGCAAAAUAAAAUCCCAUUAAUAAAGUAUAUUGCAGUAUUGAGCCUAAUUACUUCACUAUUUUAGCAGUAUUAAUAAAUAAGUAGAUACUUAUAGUAGUUUUCAAAUAUCUUGGGUAUGGUGACAGCUGUCAUCUCCAUACAAUUUAUAACGUAAUCUUAAAACGCAAAAUCUUGCGAUAUUGUAUUAAGAUGACAUAUAACACCGUACACAAGAUAUUUGAAAAAUAUAUAUAAUAGUCCUAAUAAGUCUCCUGCAGACAUUUGCCUUCAGUUUACAGACGAACCACAAAAAACUUAUUACAUACAACGAAUAAUCGCUUUAAAAUUACUUAAAAAAACUACUAAUACCAAACCUUUGUCUAUGAUCUGUUUUUAAUGACCGUUGUAAUGGCGUUCCAUUUUCAAAUUCAAAUUUUGAAAAAGGCAUGGCGCCGGCGCCGCGGCUGCGGUUUAAAAAAAAUAUAGUCAUUUCUGUUUCCGGGUAGGGGUUGGGUUUGGAUUCCGCUGGCAGAAAAAAAAACCCUUUUUUGUCUUUUAAAUAAAUGUAUAUAUGAAAGAUUUAUUUUUAUACGAUAAUUUAAUUGUUUUAGAGCAAUAACUUAAUGAAAUUGACUGAAAUUGAUUGAUUGAAGAGCUCAACGAGGGUGUGGAGUGUCCUCUGGAGUCACCGGCGUCCGUAGGCUACGGAGAAUGCUUACCAUCAGGCGGGCCGUAUGCUUCUUAGCCACUGUACGUACGAAAUAUUAUUUGAUAUUUACCAGUCGCUUUUCGGUGAAGGAAAAACAACGUGAGGAAACCGGACUAAUCCUAAUAAGGCCUAGUUUACCCUCUGGGUUGGAACGUCAGAUGGCAGUCGCUUUCGUAAAAACUAGUGCCUACGCCAAUUCUCGGGAUUAGUUGCCAAGCGGACCCCAGGCUCCCAUGAGCCGUGGCAAAAUGCCGGGACAACGCGAGGAAGAAGGAAGGAUAGAAUGAUUAUUUAUACCCCAGUUUUAGUGCCGGUUUACUGGAUAUAUGCCGGAUUCACUGUAGUGUAUUGUAUUAAUUACAAGCUUACUUUCACCUGACCGUUGUCUGUUUGUAAUCAAAUCUUGCAAGUUAAAUUUGAUCCACUUCCCGGUUUCCGAUUGAGCUGAAAAUAUGCAUACAUAUGUAAGUCGGGUGACAAUGCAAUAUUAUGGUACCAUCGAGCUGAUCUGAUGAUGGAGACAAGAGGUGGACAUAGGAACUCUGUGAUAAAACAACGCAACCUAAUUGUGUUUGGGGUUUUUAGAAUUUGCUCGAUGAGUAUUAGUUGCCUGUGGAAAGAAAAGUACAGUCAGCGAUAAAAGCUUGUACCAAAAAUGAAAUUUUUGCCAAAAACUUUUUAGAAAGUGGUUUACCCUCGAUAUAUUUUGGAACUAUUGAGAAUUGAUAAAACCGUUGCGCUAUUUUAUAGGUAAUUAAUAAUCGUUUUAAUUGACUUACAAGCGACCCGCCCCAGCUUCUCAUGAGUUACACAACCUUAACAAAUAAUACACCUAAACCUUCCAAAAGAAUCACUCUAUCCAUAGGUACCUAAAAGUCGAAUGAAAAUCCGUUCAGUCCUUUUUGAGUUUAUUGCGAACAUAAGUUGCCGUUUGCCGUGUUUUUUUUUACUAUUGAUCAGCGGGUGACUAAGCUUUCUUAUUCUAAACAAAAAAAAAUAUGAUGAACAACUACAUAAACACGACGUUUUCUUAAAUCGUUUAUUUUUUAUCUCUUUGUUAACUUAAACACCCUGUAGCUCCUAAACUAUUGAUCGUAGAGUAAAAAUAUUUUUUUGAAAUUUUGUAGAAAAUAUUAUGUACAAACUUUUGUGGUAAUGAUAAUGAUUUUCGAUCAGAUAUUCGAAAUAUGAGCAAAAUCUGAAAAAACCGGACAAGUGCGAGUCGGACUCGCCCACCGAGGCUUCCGUACUUUUUAGUCACAACGAAAGGCGGGAGGGGGUUAGGGUCGGCAACGCGCAUGUAGCUCCUCUGGAGUUGCAGGCGUACAUAGGCUACGGAUACUGCUUACCAUCAGGCGGGCCAUAUGCUGUUUGCCACCGAUGUAGUAUAAAAAAAAUAGUAUAGUAUUUGUUGUUAUAGCGGCAACAGAAAUACAUCAUCUGUGAAAAUUUCAACUGUCUAGCUAUCACGGUUUAUGAGAUACAGCCUGGUGACAGACGGACGGACGGACAGCGAAGUCUUAGUAAUAGGGUCCCGUUUUACCAUUUGGGUACGGAACCCU